UUUUCUAUAAGCUUCGAGAAAUGAGAUUUAAAUUUUCUAUUUUUUAAAAGACUAUGAAGAAUGAACCUCAUUUAAAAAAUUCUUCGUCUCUUGGGAAUUCUUUUAAAGAACAUUAAGCAGCAUGCUUUUGAUGAAGCUAUAUACUUGGUUACUCGUUGGAAUGGACACCAGGUGAAUGUGUACCAGAAUUUUUUUCCGAUCUUCUGAUUUUUAAUUCUAUUCACUCAGAUUUAAAUGAUCUUGGCAUUCUAUGGUGGUGUGAUAGUCCAGAAGAUUUUGUGGCAAAGCAUAGAAAUGUUUUAGAAAGUUCUCAUGUAUCUGAGCCACUUCAUCACCGGAUGGAUUUAACUUUUGGUUAUAAAGUGUCUGACUCAAAAGAGAGUGGUGAUGAGGAAGGACAAGUCCAGCUUUUUUAAAACAUUUAGGUCAAAAUGUUCAUCUGCUUGCUCAAAAUCCAGACCGGAAAACCAAAUUAUUGUCUUACCCAAGGAUCCAUUAUCUUCCCGUCUUUAAGCUCUGCAUGCUUUUCAAUCUUGGUUUGAUGGAGAAUAUCAUCAUUUUAAUGAAUUUAAGGACUAUUCUCAAAUCAAUGAUGUUUCUGUAAAUUAUUUACGAGGCAAAGAUAUGGUAGCUCUUGGUUGCCUGAUUAGUGAAAUCGCUCUAUCAACUCAUUGUAAAGUUUUACCUCGAAACUCUUCUUUCAAAACAUGUUAUGAUCACUUACUUAAACUAUUACGAAUAUAUAGACAAGAAAUACCAAGCAAAUUGCAGGCAUCAAAGAGAAUGCCAUUUUAGAGCGAGUCAUUCUGGGCCACAGAAGUCUCCAAGGAAUGCCUCAGCAACUUGCAGAAGUGUAUUACAUUAUGGAAGCCCAGCAGCUCAAUGGUUAUUGCUUAGAGUGUUUUCUUGCCAAAGAUCAUGCUGAUAAUUCUAUUAUCAUUGGGGUAUUGUUCAUAGGCAUUUAUCUAUGGUACCUUAACAACCAACCAUCGAUUUAUUUUUUGCUACUAAAAGCAACUAUUUUGUUCAUUUUUUUCUGUGGCAACCCUGUGAUCAAACCAUUGGGAAUAUAUCACUCCUAUUGCAUCUUCCUCCUAUAUUUUAGAUGUCAGAAAUCUGAAUCCGUCGAAAAAAGAGUGCUCUUGUAGUUGCUAUAUUGAAUAUCCAUAUUCCAAUUGCAUUGGGUGCAUUUCAAUGAAGUUAGAAAAUUAAACAGCACAUUAGGAGUAGUCUAUUUCAAGGACUUGCUAAUUUAGCUCUAUAUGAUCCAUUGCUCAUCUGUCCUUAUUAUUUGGGCAGUUCAUUCCUGGUUUAGCUGCAGGUGCAAGAAUUUUUCAAGUAACCAAGUUUUAUCUGGCAUUUAUUUAGAUGUGAAUGUACUCAGAAACUAAAUACUAUUUUAAAGUACAUGAAUUCAUCUCCAGAGAUACCUUUGAAAGGAGUGAAAAUAAUUGAGCUUUUUGGGGAAGUACAAUUUUGAGAUGUUACUUUUAGAUAUCCAUCAAGACCUAAUCAGGUUAAUCUGGUCACUUUUAAAAUUAAACUAUUUUAUUUCAGGCUCUUUGAAAUAUGAAUAUCUAUUGUAAUAUUGUUAUUUAUGAAGGUUUGUAAAAUAUAUCAUUCUUGAUAUUUAAUAUUGAACUUUUUAAAAUGAAUGUAUU
Parasteatoda tepidariorum (common house spider) is the source of this 1661-nucleotide non-coding RNA. NCBI's taxonomy places the organism in Eukaryota, Metazoa, Arthropoda, Arachnida, Araneae, Theridiidae. The record is from RefSeq and is a predicted model, not a curated record.